Long non-coding RNA from Brachypodium distachyon (stiff brome), 1072 nucleotides. RefSeq lists it as uncharacterized. NCBI's taxonomy places the organism in Eukaryota, Viridiplantae, Streptophyta, Magnoliopsida, Poales, Poaceae. The transcript is spliced from 2 exons. The record is from RefSeq and is a predicted model, not a curated record.
GCAGUCAGUCUCUGCUUCUUCUUCUCCAUCCCCGGCCCCUCACUCCGGCGACCGGAGAUGAGGAGGGCGCGCGGCGGUGAUGCCGUCGUGCGGGGAGCUGCGUGCGGCGGGCAGCAGAGGUAGGGAAGCGCCGGCGUCCGCGUCUCCAGUGAGAGCAACUCUACGGCCGCUAGAUCAUUGCUUUUGGAAACCAUUGAAGUUCACGGUUACACGAAGAAGGCGCAAAAUGAUACCCUCUACAAAUGGAAGCGUUGGAGGACCCGCGAGGUCACAAAAUGCACCACCGGGCUGUUAGUGCAAGAAGCCAAAUCCAGGUGUUCUAAGAGGCUGUCCGGGGAUUGUUAGUUAGUAUGCGAGUCCCACCUGCGUUAAGCGUGGGUCCCAAUUGUCAGAAGUUGACUUGUGGUCCCGACAUGUCAGUUAUUGACCAUUAUUUGUGGGCCCUACAAGUACAAAAAUAAAAGGGGGUGGCCCGUGGAGAGCCCGUGCCCCCGUUCCCUAUUACCCGACGCGCUCCUCUGCUUCCUCUGUACCGACCGACCGCCGCGCCACCGCUUCUCCAUCCCUGCCGUCGCUUCUCAUUCAAUUUUGAUUUAAAUUGGGAUUUUAGGAUUCUAGGGUUUGCACUAAAGGGGCUGAAAUUGGGGCUGAAAUUGAUGGGCUCUCGAAAUUGAUGGGCCAUGUUUGAUGUUCUUGUAGUUACUGAGACAAUGUAGCUUUUUCAUGUGGAUGGAUUCGUACAUUGAGAAGCUUCAAAUGGAAGGGAAGCUGCAAGGGCAUGUGAUGGAGGAGCAGAGGAGGGCAAUGGCAGAGGAGGGCAAUGGAAAGGCAGAUUUGCCCCUUUUGGAAGAGCUAAUGGGCAUGAAUGAGAAGCUGACAAAGUUGAUUGAGUUGAAGAAAGAUGAGAUGCAAGUUGCCAAACUGUUUAAUGCUUGUAUCAUCAUGUUGGGUUUGAUUUUAGUCGUCAGGAACCCGUUCAUGUAGCUCUUUGGUUUUAGAAUAAGAGUCGAUUGAAGGAAGAUUUGAUGUUAAAUGGUUUAUGUAAGAGAGCUCUUUAUGUAACUUUAUGUAA